This is an RNA transcript of Ricinus communis (castor bean), 1848 nucleotides long. It is a transcript of the gene named BTB/POZ and MATH domain-containing protein 2, with no coding region annotated. The record is from RefSeq and is a predicted model, not a curated record. The transcript has 5 exons. Lineage: Eukaryota; Viridiplantae; Streptophyta; Magnoliopsida; Malpighiales; Euphorbiaceae.
CAAACAAACAAAGAUGGCUGCUUUUUCAUAGUCUCACAGCCUCCAUUUAUCUGCUCUUUCGCAUUUCUUAAUCAAAUUAAAAUCCACCGAAUUCUUUCCCUUUUUCAGUUUCUUCUCCUUCCUCCUUCCAAACCCAGAUCCAUUUUAUCUGUCUCUACUGUUUCCACUCUUCAAUUGCAUAUCUUUAACCUCAAAAAUAUAAUUUUUUGUGCACAUCUCCGAACCCUAAUUAUAUAUUAAACCAAAGGAUUCUCAUUCGAAGUCCAUAACUGUGUCGAACCCUUUUCAAUUCACCGAUCAACAGGUCUAGAAACAUCAAAAUCCACACUGCCCAUUUCCUCUCUAGUUGAUGGGCACAAUCAGGGCUAGUACUGUAGACCUAUCCAAACCCCCAUCAACCUCCUCAACCACCACCUCCACCUCUCGUACCGAGACAAUUAAUGGGUCCCAUGAGUUCAAAAUCGGUGGCUACUCUUUAUCAAAGGGCAUGGGAGUUGGAAAGUAUAUACCUUCCGAUACAUUUUUUGUUGGUGGGUAUGCUUGGGCAAUCUAUUUUUACCCUGAUGGUAAAAGCCCUGAAGAUAAUGCAGCUUAUGUAUCUGUAUUCAUUGCUCUUGCUAGUGAGGGUACUGAUGUUAGGGCAUUGUUUGAGCUCUCAUUGAUUGAUCAAAGUGGUAAAGAAAAUCAUAAGGUUCAUACCCAUUUCGGUAGAGCUCUUGAAAGUGGACCGUACACACUAAAGUAUCGCGGGAGUAUGUGGGGUUACAAACGAUUUUUUAAAAGAACUCAACUAGAGACAUCUGACUAUCUCAAAGAUGAUACCCUGGUAAUUCGUUGUUGUGUUGGUGUAGUUAAGUCCCAGACAGAGGGUCCUAAGACCUAUACUAUUGCAGUAUUGCCAUCUGAUAUUGGUCAGCAUUUUGGAAAGCUUUUAGAGAGUGGAAAGGGAGCUGAUGUAAACUUUGAAGUUGAUGGUGAAGUAUUUUCUGCUCACAAGCUGGUUCUUGCAACACGCUCGCCUGUGUUCAGAGCUCAACUUUUUGGUCCAAUGAAGGAUCAGAACACUCAAUGCAUAAAAGUUGAAGACAUGGAAGCCCCAGUUUUUAAGGCAUUGCUCCAUUUUAUUUACUGGGAUGCCCUACCAGAUGUGGAAGAGCUCGUUGGCUUAAACUCUAAAUGGGCCUCUACACUGAUAGCGCAGCAUCUACUAGCAGCAGCAGAUCGUUAUGCACUUGAGAGGCUCCGAUUGGUCUGUGAAGCUAAACUUUGUGAAGAUAUUGCCAUAAACACUGUUGCAACAACACUUGCCUUGGCAGAGCAGCAUCAGUGUCUCCAGCUAAAAGCUGUCUGUCUCAAAUUUAUUGCGCUCCCUGAAAAUUUGAAAGCUGUGAUGCAGACAGAUGGAUUUGAAUACCUAAAGGAAAGUUGUCCUUGUGUAAUCACAGAACUUCUGCAAUAUGUGGCUAGAAUUGGUGAGCAUUCUGGCAUUGCUUGUGCACAUGGAAAUGAGAGCUUAGAUGGCGAUUUGAAUGGAAGGCGAGUGAAGCAAAGAAUACAUUGAUUUAGGAAUAACAAAUAGCGCAGCCUUUGGACAAAAACCAGAGCUUGUUAGCCCUAUACAUUUUUGAGACUGUACUAACAUUUGACUAUUUAUAGCAGAAAUUUAAUGGAGUUUGUGUGAAUAUCACGUUUUACUUGUGUGUUACCGUGUAUAUGCAGUAUCAAUGUCCUUAAUGGGGAUAUGAUGAAAUUUUCCUGCUGCUGUAAUUCGUACCGUGAUUGUAUUAGAUGAUAGUCAGCAGUCUCUCUAUCUUAUUAUUGAGGCCUAAUCUAUUAUAUUAAACGCUA